AACUACUGUCAGUCUUUGUAAAUGAAAGAUUUAAAAGAAAAACGGAGGUUAAAAAAGAGUUGGUAAAUGGCAGCGGAGCACACAGAGGGAAACUCUGAGCCAGAGUCCAUGCCGUCACCUGGGGAAAGGGACAGCCCCCCAGCACAUAGUUGUAUAUUCUAGCUGUGAGUGCCUCUGGCUGUGCUAUGUGGGACGCCGCCUCAGCAUGGCCUGAUGAGUGGUACCAUGUCCAUGCCCAGGAUCUGAACCAGUGAAACCCGGUCCACCGAAGCGGAGCCCACCAAAACGGAGUGCACAAACUUAACCACUGGACCAUGGGGCCGGCCCCUAGGUGUUAUCUUAAAAGGACGGGAGGGGCCUGGAUGCAGUGAAGAAGGCUCAUUUCUUCCAGAUGCUCACCUGCAAUGGAAAGCUACAUAUGCAGUGGCAUCGCUCCCAGACUACAAGUCUGCAUGUUCACGAGGAGAGGAUGAGAAAGCUAGGCAGGCACGAAGAGCCACUGGGGAACGUGUCUUGAAAACAAGCAUGGAUUAUUUAAAAAAAAAUUCAAGAAGGUGCCCAUGUGAAAGUUUAAAUUUUCCUCCCACCAGCCCCCUCCCUCCUUUUUGAGCAUGCCAGGAACUCGUGGUUAUAGAAGGCCAUUGUGCAACCUCUUUUGCUGUGAGCACAGAGCAUGUAUAUUGCAUUCCCUCCUGUGGCAGGCCUGCUCCCAUGUUUGUUGUCUGGCUCCAGCCUCCCAUUAACAGAAUCCCUGGGGAAGGGCAGUUUCCUUACAUUAGGUAGAAAUGCUCUUGUUAAUGAUAAAUUGAUGAAAAGCU
This 818-nucleotide long non-coding RNA is filed under the name Equus caballus (horse). RNAcentral's name for it is "lncRNA (ENSECAG00000045789.1)". Lineage: Eukaryota; Metazoa; Chordata; Mammalia; Perissodactyla; Equidae. The record is from RNAcentral.